AUUGAACGCUGGCGGCAGGCCUAACACAUGCGAGUCGAGCGGAUGAAGGGAGCUUGCUCCUGGAUUCAGCGGCGGACGGGUGAGUAAUGCCUAGGAAUCUGCCUGGUAGUGGGGGAUAACGUCCGGAAACGGGCGCUAAUACCGCAUACGUCCUGAGGGAGAAAGUGGGGGAUCUUCGGACCUCACGCUAUCAGGUGAGCCUAGGUCGGAUUAGCUAGUUGGUGGGGUAAAGGCCUACCAAGGCGACGAUCCGUAACUGGUCUGAGAGGAUGAUCAGUCACACUGGAACUGAGACACGGUCCAGACUCCUACGGGAGGCAGCAGUGGGGAAUAUUGGACAAUGGGCGAAAGCCUGAUCCAGCCAUGCCGCGUGUGUGAAGAAGGUCUUCGGAUUGUAAAGCACUUUAAGUUGGGAGGAAGGGCAGUAAGUUAAUACCUUGCUGUUUUGACGUUACCAACAGAAUAAGCACCGGCUAACUUCGUG
RNAcentral lists this ribosomal RNA (484 nucleotides) under uncultured bacterium. RNAcentral's name for it is "partial 16S ribosomal RNA". It matches the Rfam family "Bacterial small subunit ribosomal RNA", at positions 30 to 507 of the family's 1533-position model. The record is from RNAcentral.